AUACGUAGGGGGCGAGCGUUAUCCGGAAUUAUUGGGCGUAAAGAGUGCGUAGGCGGUUUCUUAAGCGCGGGGUGAAAGGCAGUGGCUUAACCAUUGUUAGCCUUGCGAACUGGGAGACUUGAGUGCUGGAGAGGAAAGCGGAAUUCCUAGUGUAGCGGGGAAAUGCGUAGAUAUUAGGAGGAACACCAGUGGCGAAGGCGGCUUUCUGGACAGUAACUGACGCUGAGGCACGAAAGUGUGGGGAGCAAACAGGAUUAGAUACCCUGGUAGUCCACACCGUAAACGAUGAGCACUAGGUGUCGGGUCCGCAAGGAUUCGGUGCCGCAGUUAACGCAUUAAGUGCUCCGCCUGGGGAGUACGUACGCAAGUAUGAAACUCAAAGGAAUCGACGGGG
Molecule: ribosomal RNA, 394 nt
Filed under: uncultured bacterium
Lineage: Bacteria
Description: partial 16S ribosomal RNA
Rfam family: Bacterial small subunit ribosomal RNA
Source: RNAcentral